Long non-coding RNA from Lytechinus variegatus (green sea urchin), 617 nucleotides. RefSeq lists it as uncharacterized. The transcript has 2 exons. The record is from RefSeq and is a predicted model, not a curated record. NCBI's taxonomy places the organism in Eukaryota, Metazoa, Echinodermata, Echinoidea, Temnopleuroida, Toxopneustidae.
GUAUGGAGAUAUUCUACUUUUAAUGGAGUAUACCACUUGGUUGUUCAUAGCCGGUUGCUGGUUUCACUGAGAUGAAGCAUGGAUCGAAGGAAUUUGGAGUUUGCAAGAUUGACGGACUUGACAAUUUACCAGUGAUUUGCAGAGAUUUUAAUCACUUGAACAUCGAGAGAUUACGCUUGCACAUCAUAUAAAAUCAGGAUAAAAGUUGAAAUCUUUCCAAGGAAAUUUGUUCCACUUUUUAGGAGAAAAGGGAUAAAGAUUGGUAAAUCAGGAGGACUGGUCAGUCAAGCCUAGAGUGGUGACCAAUUUUUGGAAGUACUACAAUUAUUCAAUCCUAUGUAGUGUCUGUGAAGUGUAACAAGAAAAGGGAUAGAGACUGGUAGCAUCCAGAAGAAAACUGGCCAGACCGGUGAUCAUUUCUUAGAAGUACUACUCCCAUUCAAACCUAUGCAGUGUGUGUUCUGCAACUGCGCAAAGAAGGGACUUGGCUGGUGCCGAAAGAAGAGGAAAACGCCCGCGAUGGAGGAGGAGAAAAAGACGAGACCGCUUCUUGGGGGUCUUUCGUGGUUGCCGAUCAGUACUGGAAUUUUGACCAUCUUGACGUGUGUCGUAACGUA